RNAcentral lists this ribosomal RNA (402 nucleotides) under uncultured bacterium. RNAcentral's name for it is "bacterial SSU rRNA". It matches the Rfam family "Bacterial small subunit ribosomal RNA", at positions 975 to 1375 of the family's 1533-position model. The record is from RNAcentral.
CUGGGCUAGAAUGCCUCUGACCGGCGUAGAGAUACGCCUUCCUGGGUAAAACCAGGCAGAGUGCAAGGUGCUGCAUGGCUGUCGUCAGCUCGUGUCGUGAGAUGUUGGGUUAAGUCCCGCAACGAGCGCAACCCUUAUCAACAGUUGCCAUCAUUAAGUUGGGAACUCUGUUGAGACUGCCGUUGAUAAAACGGAGGAAGGUGGGGAUGAUGUCAAGUCAUCAUGGCCUUUAUGCUUAGGGCUACACACGUGCUACAAUGGAUGGUACAAAACGUCGCAAUCUCGUAAGAGGGAGCUAAUCGCGAAAACCAUUCUCAGUUCGGAUUGAAGUCUGCAACUCGACUUCAUGAAGUUGGAAUCGCUAGUAAUCGCAGAUCAGAACGCUGCGGUGAAUACGUUCCC